AUAUAGUGAAUUGCAAAUAUAUCUCUAUAAAGUUCAACUUUCAUAUGUUGUGUCUAUAAAAAUUUCUAAUAUUUUCAAAUAUAUCCAUCUGAUUUGUUACCGUUAUUUAUGUUUUAAGUGAAAUAUCAAUUUUACCAUCACAAAUAUAUUCCUCCAAAAAUCAUAAAAGUAUAAUAUAAAUAGGUAAAAAUGUCAAAAAUUAAUCAGGGUUAAGUAUUUAACCCAUGGUUAACUAAAAUUUUCUAAUGGAUUCUAACGGCAGGAAUAUAUUUGAAAACAUCAGGACUUUUGCAGGAAUAAUAUAUGAAAGUUAAACUUUGUACGGAUAUAUUUGCCAUUUAUUAUGUUUGCAGGAACCUGUAUGAAGUUAAUCCUAAAAUGAAUCACAGCUGCACCACUAAACUAUAUAAUCUGCAGGCGACUAA
RNAcentral lists this long non-coding RNA (425 nucleotides) under Ananas comosus (pineapple). RNAcentral describes it as "long non-coding RNA (ACOM_LNC041413)". Lineage: Eukaryota; Viridiplantae; Streptophyta; Magnoliopsida; Poales; Bromeliaceae. The record is from RNAcentral.